Strongylocentrotus purpuratus (purple sea urchin) is the source of this 348-nucleotide long non-coding RNA. RefSeq lists it as uncharacterized. The record is from RefSeq and is a predicted model, not a curated record. Lineage: Eukaryota; Metazoa; Echinodermata; Echinoidea; Camarodonta; Strongylocentrotidae. The transcript is spliced from 2 exons.
CCAGGAUGUGGGUUCCGGUUCACCCAAUCUGUUUCUCUACGUAGAUCAUGUGUAAUGAUAAACAGAUGAAGAUCAUUUCUAGGCUCGAUCCUUGCCUCUUAAUUUCGACAUAGUGAAACAAUUUGCUGCAAUUCUUAGUCUCGCAGAAGAUGAAAAACAAUCAGUACCCUGAAUUUGUCAGGAAGGAAGGAUGGGGAGGGGGGGGGGGGGGGGGGUACCAUGAAAUAACAGGUGAUGGGAAAAAUUUGAACGAAAGGCCCAUUUUGGGACAAUAUAUUGGCACGAAUGAUCCUAUCAUUUUCUCCAGAAUACAAUGCAAAUUCUCUUUUAUUUAUGACGGAUAUAAGA